Molecule: ribosomal RNA, 495 nt
Filed under: uncultured bacterium
Lineage: Bacteria
Description: partial 16S ribosomal RNA
Rfam family: Bacterial small subunit ribosomal RNA
Source: RNAcentral
GACGAACGCUGGCGGCGUGCCUAAUACAUGCAAGUAGAACGCUGAAGCAGGGCCUUUCUUCUCCGGAUGAUUGGCGAACGGGUGAGUAACACGUAUGUAACCUGCCCUUUAGCGUGGGAUAACUAUUGGAAACGAUAGCUAAUACCGCAUAACAGUUGAUGUUGCAUGAUAUCUGCUUGAAAGUUGCAAUUGCAUCGCUACCAGUUGGACCUGCGUUGUAUUAUCUAGUUGUUGAGGUAACGGCUCACUAAGGCGACGAUACAUAGUCGAACUGGGAGGGGGGUUGGCCAAACUGGGAACGAGGCCCGGCACAGAGUGCUACGGGAAGGCGCAGGAGGGAAACUUGGGCCAUGGAGGGAAGUCUGAACGAGCAAAGCCGGGGGAGGGAAGAAGGGUCUCGGAUCCUAAAGACCUGUUGUAAGGGAAAAAAGAGAGGGAGAGUGGAAAGUGCACGUCGUGACGGUAGCUUAUCAGAAAGGGACGGCUAACUACGUG